GCCGCCGUGGCUCAGCUGGAAGAGCGGGUGACUCGUAAUCACCAGGUCGCGGGUUCAAACCCCGCCGGCGGCU
Molecule: transfer RNA, 73 nt
Filed under: Archaeoglobus sp.
Lineage: Archaea; Methanobacteriati; Methanobacteriota; Archaeoglobi; Archaeoglobales; Archaeoglobaceae
Also listed under: 2 other names
Description: tRNA-Thr
Rfam family: tRNA
About the family: Transfer RNA (tRNA) molecules are approximately 80 nucleotides in length. Their secondary structure includes four short double-helical elements and three loops (D, anti-codon, and T loops).
Source: RNAcentral